This 23-nucleotide non-coding RNA is filed under the name Gallus gallus (chicken). The record is from RNAcentral. Lineage: Eukaryota; Metazoa; Chordata; Aves; Galliformes; Phasianidae.
AGCGCUGAGCGGCGGUGGCUUUU